AUUUUCAUUGUGUUCAUUUCUUGUCACCAGAUACAGGCACUUUACGCUGAGGUUUGCUAUGUCUUAUACUCCCUCUGUCACUUUAUUUUUUUUUUCUGUCAUGGGAACAAAGAAGAUUUUACAAGUGAAUUUCCUUUGCCAUAUUGAUGGACCACAGGCUCAGGUAUGUCCAGCACUGCCGGGUUGGAUACAAGGGUAACGGAUGUUCUGUGUGCCAUGGGAGCCCCUCUGACAUUGGUUUACACAGGAAAGUUCAACCACUGUGAAGAUAUCAGAGGUUCAGA
RNAcentral lists this long non-coding RNA (284 nucleotides) under Aotus nancymaae (Ma's night monkey). RNAcentral describes it as "lncRNA (ENSANAG00000038799.1)". The record is from RNAcentral. Lineage: Eukaryota; Metazoa; Chordata; Mammalia; Primates; Aotidae.